GUGCUGCUGUGGCGGGCGGGCGGCGAUGUCGGCCAGUACCUGAUCCACGUCGAGGUACUUGUACUUCAGCGCGAUGUUCAGCUCGUCCAGCAGCACG
This 97-nucleotide transfer RNA is filed under the name Vogesella alkaliphila. Its description in RNAcentral is "tRNA-Thr". The record is from RNAcentral. Lineage: Bacteria; Pseudomonadati; Pseudomonadota; Betaproteobacteria; Neisseriales; Chromobacteriaceae.